GAUGAACGCUGGCGGCGUGCCUAAUACAUGCAAGUCGAGCGAACAGACGAGGAGCUUGCUCCUCUGACGUUAGCGGCGGACGGGUGAGUAACACGUGGAUAACCUACCUAUAAGACUGGGAUAACUUCGGGAAACCGGAGCUAAUACCGGAUAAUAUAUUGAACCGCAUGGUUCAAUAGUGAAAGACGGUUUUGCUGUCACUUAUAGAUGGAUCCGCGCCGCAUUAGCUAGUUGGUAAGGUAACGGCUUACCAAGGCAACGAUGCGUAGCCGACCUGAGAGGGGGAGCGGCCACACUGGAAAUGAGACACGGGCCAGACACCCACGGGAGGCAGAAGUGGGGAAUAUUCCGCAAAGGGCGAAAGCCUGACGGAGCAACGCCGCGUGAGUGAGGAAGGGCUUCGGAUCGUAAAACUCUGUUAUUAGGGAAAAAAAAAAGUGUAAGAAAAAAUGCACGCCUUGACGGGACCCAAACAGAAAGCCACGGCUAAAUACGU
This 496-nucleotide ribosomal RNA is filed under the name uncultured bacterium. Its description in RNAcentral is "partial 16S ribosomal RNA". It matches the Rfam family "Bacterial small subunit ribosomal RNA", at positions 28 to 506 of the family's 1533-position model. The record is from RNAcentral.